GACGAACGCUGGCGGCGCGCCUAACACAUGCAAGUCGAGCGAUGAAAUUUUAACCGAUCUCUUCGGAGAGAAGAUAAAAUGGAUUAGCGGCGGACGGGUGAGUAACACGUGAGAAACCUGCCUUUCACAAGGGGAUAGCCUCGGGAAACCGGGAUUAAUACCCUAUGACACAUUUCCUUCGCAUGGAAGAAAUGGUAAAACUCCGGUGGUGAAAGAUGGUCUCGCGCCUGAUUAGCUAGUUGGUGGGGUAACGGCCCACCAAGGCCAUGAUCAGUAACCGGCCUGAGAGGGUGAACGGUCACAUUGGAACUGAGACACGGUCCAAACUCCUACGGGAGGCAGCAGUGGGGAAUAUUGCAAAAUGGAGGAAACUCUGAUGCAGCGACGCCGCGUGAGCGAUGAAGGCUUUCGAGUCGUAAAGCUCUGUCCUAUGGGAAGAUAAUGACGGUACCAUAGGAGGAAGCCCCGGCUAACUACGUG
This 480-nucleotide ribosomal RNA is filed under the name uncultured bacterium. RNAcentral's name for it is "partial 16S ribosomal RNA". It matches the Rfam family "Bacterial small subunit ribosomal RNA", at positions 28 to 507 of the family's 1533-position model. The record is from RNAcentral.